AAACAAUUGUACUGUGAAACUGCGAAUGGCUCAUUAUAUCAGUUAUAGUUUAUUUGAUAGUACCUACUACUUGGAUAACCGUAGUAAUUCUAGAGCUAAUACAUGCAUUAACUCCCAACUGCCUCGGCGGACGGGAUGUAUUUAUUAGAUAAAAACCAAUGCGGGCAGCAAUGUCCGGUGUUGCGGUGAGUCAUAAUAACUUUGCGAAUCGUAUGGCCAUGCGCCGACGAUGAAUCAUUCAAGUUUCUGCCCUAUCAGCUGUCGAUGGUAGGGUAUUGGCCUACCAUGGCGUUAACGGGUAACGGAGAAUUAGGGUUCGAUUCCGGAGAGGGAGCCUGAGAAACGGCUACCACAUCCAAGGAAGGCAGCAGGCGCGUAAAUUACCCAAUCCUGACACAGGGAGGGUAGUGACAAUAAAUAACAAUAUGGAACCCUAGUGGUUACUGUAAUUGGAAUGAGAACAAUUUAAAUCCCUUAACGAGGAUCAAUUGGAGGGCAAGUCUGGUGCCAGCAGCCGCGGUAAUUCCAGCUCCAAUAGCGUAUAUUAAAAGUUGUUGCAGUUAAAAAGCUCGUAGUUGGAUUUCUGGCGGGAGCAGCCAGUCCUGCCUCUGCGANGGGUGUGCACUAGCGCUGUAUCCGGCCAUCCUUGUGGAG
RNAcentral lists this ribosomal RNA (654 nucleotides) under uncultured eukaryote. RNAcentral's name for it is "SSU rRNA". It matches the Rfam family "Eukaryotic small subunit ribosomal RNA", at positions 67 to 712 of the family's 1831-position model. The record is from RNAcentral.